GGACGAUUUGGCGGUUUGGGACUCCUUCUUGGCUACAUACAAUGGCCGGUCCUACUGGCAAAAGCCGGAGGUUUCUAAUGCCGACCUCCACCUAUUUACAGAUGCGGCUGGCUCGGUGGGAUUUGGGGCCAUUCUGGGCUCUAGUUGGUGUGCGGCCGUGUGGCCGGACAGUUGGCAUGUCUCUGGGCUCACGAAAAAUCUGGCCUUUCUGGAGCUUUUCCCCAUUUUGGUGGCAGUGGAGGUCUGGGGGUCACGUUUGCAGGAUCAAAGGGUAGUGUUUCAUUGUGACAACUUGGGGGUUGUUCAGGCCAUUAAUCGGCUGACAGCCUCCUCCCCUCCGGUGGUUCACUUGCUUAGGCGGUUGGUUCUCCGAUGUUUGUGUCUCAAUGUGUAUUGUAGGGCAGAGCAUAUACCGGGAGUUCACAAUGUG
Non-coding RNA from Pelobates cultripes (western spadefoot toad), 430 nucleotides. Lineage: Eukaryota; Metazoa; Chordata; Amphibia; Anura; Pelobatidae. The record is from the annotation of a GenBank genome assembly.